This is a non-coding RNA of Thamnophis sirtalis, 640 nucleotides long. Lineage: Eukaryota; Metazoa; Chordata; Lepidosauria; Squamata; Natricidae. The record is from RefSeq and is a predicted model, not a curated record.
CAUUCCUCACAAUCUUAAGAAAACGCUGUGGAGAGACAAGGGAAGAAAUGCAAAGGACUCUUUAAAAAAAGCUGCAGUGUGGGGAUCUGGCAGAGCUCAAGGAACCACGGAGGUUCAGAGCAAGCACAGUUCUUCCCACCAGCAGGUCAAGGACUUCUUCUAAAACAGUAAGUCAGCAACAUUACUAAUUCAGAGCAGACACAUUGCUGAUGGAAAGUCAUCACAAUUAGAAGACGUGGGAGCCCUUUGAAGUGCGAAGCGACCAAGUUCGACACUCGCUUUUCAAAAUUAAACCGUUAAGUUAAUGAAGUCUGCCUGUGUCGUGAAGAAAGGAGCAAGGAGUGGGAAGAGCUAUGACUGAAUAUCGACUAGGAAAUCUGCAGAAAGAGAAAAGAGGGUCCUGGAGGAAUCAAGAGGGUCCUGAAGGCAGACACUUUGUAUAAAACUUUUAGGUGAACUGCACCACAGAUGGUAUUCUUCUGGUUCGGACAGUUUCGCCUGAACUGGUAGUCGAAAUCGCGGGUGGGCCUGCCCACAUUUUCAAGCCAAAGCGCAUGCGCAGAAGCUGAGCGCAAGCACGGAGGGGAGCAUGCGUGGAUGGGCACUUGCGUGCGCUCACAUUUGCGAAUCGGUAGGGAAG